UGAGGCUUCGCCAAGCGGUUAAGGCACCGGGUUUUGACCCCGGCAGAGAAGGAACGCUCUUUACGCUGGUUCGAAUCCAGCAGCCUCAG
RNAcentral lists this transfer RNA (89 nucleotides) under Caudoviricetes sp. Its description in RNAcentral is "tRNA-Gln". It matches the Rfam family "tRNA". From Rfam's summary of the family: Transfer RNA (tRNA) molecules are approximately 80 nucleotides in length. Their secondary structure includes four short double-helical elements and three loops (D, anti-codon, and T loops). The record is from RNAcentral. Lineage: Duplodnaviria; Heunggongvirae; Uroviricota; Caudoviricetes.